This is a long non-coding RNA of Topomyia yanbarensis, 6953 nucleotides long. RefSeq lists it as uncharacterized. The transcript has 4 exons. Lineage: Eukaryota; Metazoa; Arthropoda; Insecta; Diptera; Culicidae. The record is from RefSeq and is a predicted model, not a curated record.
UUUAUUCGAGAUUGUAUUCGUGCAAGACUAGAAACUGUUUUCAUCCCACCUCUAGUUGGGUGCUUACUUCUCGUGAGUUCUGCAAACUAAUCCAAUAGUGUGUGAAUGUGUAAGAAAUGUCUCAUCUCACUGCUAGGUGGAUUAAAUCGGUUUUUUUUUAAAUAUUUCAAUAAAGUAAUCAUUAGAUCAAUAAUGAUAGUGGAGAUGAUAGUGCUUUCAUUAAUUUCGAGAUCGGUAAUUCUUGUGAACUUCUCCCACUGUUUUCACAAAUCGGGAUUCACCGGAAAAUGGUGAAAAGUCAUCUCCGGAUUUUUCGCUUUACUUUUUAUUUACGCAAUUUUUGACCUUGCACUCCAUGAUAAUGGAUUCACAAAAAAAAUUGAAAGUUCAAUUCUUGUUUGUUCUUUAAAAAAGUCAUGUCAUUUCUUGAACUACACCAAGUAUUAGUGUGUGUCAAUCGAAGAAGUAAGAUAUAACAAACAAAAAGAAAGAAUAAGAAAACAUGAAUCCGCAGGCCCCGUCCCAGGUUUUGACGUAGAUGAAUCCCAAAACAGUGUUGCUGAAUAUACCGAUUUAUCGAUAUUUAAACCGAUUUUUAAUUUCAAUGCCAAUAAAGUUACUAAAAAUACCGAUUUCUUUUUUCUUACCAAAAAAUAACGAUUUCCAUAUAAUAAGAUCAAUUAAUAUUACGUAUGGGCCUUUUUAGAAAAUGGCUUCACCUUUACGCAUCAAACCAUCCGGAAAUUGAUUCAGUAAUCUGCCAGGUUGCUAUCAAAAUUUCAAAUGAAGCUCAACAACCGAUUCUGAAAUCGAUUGAGCUCGGUAGGUUUGAUUACAUAACAUUAGAAUGAUCUAUAAUUUAAAACCAAUAAUUUGCAGGUAACUUUUGGUUAGCAUACAUCUUCACACCGAUAAAUACCUAUUUUUUUAUUUAGAACUGUACCGAUAUUAGAUUUGUUCCAGUACCAGUAGAAAGUGGAAGUACUCCGGAGCAAACAGAGAGAAAAUCGUUCCUAUGUUCUCUUCUCUAUUUUCUUCUUCCGUUAGCAAACCGGAGUAACAAGCAAGAAUUUUUUGCUUCUGUUUGCUCCGGAGCAACUUCUGUGUACUAGAACAAACCUAUUAUACAAAACCAUCUGACAACGCUGCUCUAAAGCUAGGAUAGGAUCCGCCAGCUCUGUCCCCUGUUUUUGAACCAAUUCUGAACCAGCUCGUGAUUGGACGAAAGUGACAUAGACAAACGUUCGGCUUGGAUACUAAAAGUACUAAAGGGCUGCUUGGAAGUGUUGUCGUAUUGUGAUAUAAAACGUAAAACGACGAUUGUUUACUGUGUUGUUUUUUUUGUUUUCUCGAGAUACCGCUUUCUUUCAAUAACGUUCGUCUGUAAUUAUGAAGUGCAAGGCAUUUUCUGGCAGACGAAUUCAAACAUAUUAUCCUAAACUGAAGUUCUACAGGUUUCCGAGAGAUCCGGUAGCGCGGUGUGCGGAUUAAUGCGGAAAUGUCUCUUUUCGAAGUCUAACCGAGUAACUGACUAUUUAGCCUAAGUAUGAAAAUAUUUUCAACUUCAUUGUCUUCGUUCCAGCGCCGAGUAAAUUGGGAGUAUUGUCUAUCGCGAGAUAAUAUAGCAUUUCGUCGAGUUGUUGCUAUAUGGGAUACACACGUGUGCGGUCGAAACAAAAACAAACGUCAAAAUGUUUUCUCACUUGCACUGAUGCAAACUAGAUGGGCGCGUAAUUCAACGCACGGCCCGGUGGCGCAUGGCUGAAAAGUCGCAAUGUGGAUUUAAGAAAAGAUUCGCAGUACUUUGGAGCAAACCGUGAGAAAGUUAUCCCGGAAAUCGCUUCUUGUUCUUCUUUUAGUAUUAUCGAUUCAGUUGAAUUUUACAGUUUUCAACUGCAUCAAUCAUCGGUGUAAAUAGGAGCGUGUUAUUUUCUACUGCUGUUUUUUCCGAAAAAAUCACAUGAAGUACUGGAACAAACCUAUACACCUAUACAAACUAAACAAAAAUUAAGCCUUGCAAAAAAGUAGUUUUUGAAUAUUUAAAAACUAAAUGCGAACAGAGAAGAUUGAUCUUGUGAAUGAGGUUGCUCGACUCAGAAAGCAACUUACAAAAAUGAAGAGCAUGGAAAUAUUUUUCGUAAUGGCCAACAACAAAUAUAUAUUAUUUUGCUUUGCUGUAUUCCGAUGGAAAACCUGUAAUGAUCAUUUAAAUUCGGAUAUAAAGACUAAAUCAUUGAUUUUUCCCGGAGCGUGAAAUUGAUACAUAAUAUAGAAUAUUUUAAUCAGAACAAUUUAAGUUUUGGACACGACUGUAACAAAACAAAUAUUUUGGCAACAUUGGUCCAGUGGGGGUAUGUCGUUUUCAGCAGGGAUUGGCAAAAUAUAAGAAGAAGCCAGCUGGCGGAUCCUAUCCUAGCUCAAAAGUGAAAAGUGCUCUUCAAACAUCGAUGACAUCUUUUUUGUUUUUUUUUCUGUUUUCUCUACCUAUCUUAUGUGUAUUUCAUCCUGCCAAGGAAUUCAAACUGAAAAAAAGAAAAAAAAACUACAGUUUAACUUCACCAGGCACAAUCAUCAGAAUGAGAUGCAGAAAAAUAUUAACCCAGAAUGGUUUCAUUUUACCGUCCAGUAUGAAAAACAUUUCAAAAAUGAUAAUUAUGUAUGCCAAAAAGGUUUUGUGCGGAUCUGCGAAUUAGGUUUUUGUAGAAUAAUUCGACCAAGGGCUAUGAUGUAGCAGCGGUGGAGAGUAAGUCCAAUCAUACGGUUUCAUCCCACCCCGGGAGCAGAUGUGCGCUGGCGAAUGUUCUCAGCCACCUGGAGGAGGAAGUUCAGCGCGGAAGAAAUGUUACCAGACUUCGACGAUCUGGUAUCUGGACUUUUUUGAUAAUCUCAUAGAGAUUGGGUGUGCAGAUGGGCGGUUAAAGUUCGGGGAGGGAACGACUGGUAAAUUUAAGGAUAUAUAUGAAGCUAAAAACACCCACAACAAUGGGGUAACUAACAUAAAGCUAACCGGUGACAAAGUAAUAGUCGCACGGUUAAGUGAACGAAUCGAUUUUCUAAGACUGGAAACGUACACGUAAGGCUGUCAGAUCGAUUGGGGAUUUACGUCUGCAUAUGGGCGAACCCACGUACGCACCGGUUCGGCAGGAAGCAUUAGUUUACUUCAGCAAUCCGCCGGCUCAAAUCCGUCCACAGCGUUGCCAGCUCAACAUCACGCAUCCGAGGAGGAGCUUCGAUGUAUCCUGGAGUUUCACCAGCAGGGUCACCGGUGACAUGUUUGGAAGUGGCGGGCGGUACAGUCAUUACUGGCAGCCAGGACCACACUGUUGAAGUGUUCCGGCUCGAUAGCCACCUAUUGCAGUUCACCCUAAACGGCCAUUGCGGUCCUAUCACAUGUAUUUUCAUAGACCAGUGGCAGGCCGAGAUGAGCGCAUCUGGUUGCCAGGAUGGUGUGCUAUGUGUGUGGGACUUGAUACGGUGUGCCUGUAUGUACAAAAUUGAAGCCCAUGACGACUCAAUCGUCCCACUUGCCUGUUCCCCGAGUUACACAAUAUCGCUCGGACUGAACGAACGAAUACGGUUCUGGGAUAGAUUUCAGGGUCAGCCGCUCAACACCAUGACCGUCAGUCAUGCAUAUUCAUCGCUUGUGAUGCUGACGCCGUCCCCUGACUCGUGACUGGAAAGCCAGCCCGAAUAGAAAUGCACAACAGUAUUACAGCAUUUUUUAUUGUUAUAUUACAACGAAAAACAAUGUUAUUCUGGAAAAUUUGCAAUGGAAAUAUAAUAUUUGUUGUUUCUACAUCCAAUUUCAUUGUAAACUCGAUUUUUACAUGGAAAAGGGGGGGGGGGGGUCGUUAAGGGAUGUAAAAAUUGAUCUUUUCCCAUACAUUCUGAAAUCAAAAACAUCGAUUUACAUUGUUUUUCCGUUGUAGAUUUUGGAGGCAUGAAGGACUGCAUCAUAAGUAUAUUGAUGUUACAACACAUGUUGUUGUUAACAAAUAAAACUGUUGUAAAUUCAAUCUGUCUACGAUCGAUUUCGAUAUUACUUUCUGUUCGGGAGCUUAGUCGAAGAUAACUUUCGUAGACAAAUAUUCAAUCUAGUCUCAUCACAUUUAGGUUCACUAGUUGUAUGGGACGACAAUACUGGAGAUGUAGCUCGGGAAGUCAGGCUUGACUGUUCCAAUUCACAGCUAAGUCCGAAGAUUAUGCUACCUACCAGUGGUUUGGUAAUUUGAGACUACGGAAAUCAAAUGAGAAUCGUUCGUUUCCCACUUGUGGCGGCGGAAAAGUGGUUCGGUCCGGGGAAUCGUAAUCGACCAGCUAACGAAAACAAAUGUACAUCAGUAGCCUCUGAACGAAGCCAUUGCUAGCACGAGUUUUUGAUUUGGAAGGAUAAUUACUGAGGACCAUUCUCACAAUAGUAUAAAAGUUCUAACCUCAAAAACAGACAACAAUAACAUGUAUUUCUUUCAGAGUUGAUAAUAUCUAUUACAUGAUCAAAUGCGUUGAUGGGUUAGGCUUUGGAUUCGGCUAUAUUCCAUCGUCAUUGAAGCUAGAUCAUAGAAUCAUGUUAAUUUGACAGACUGCUAGUGUUAUUAGUAGCACUGAGAACUGACAUACAAGUAAAGUUUGCAACUUGUGUAAGAAAUAAAACUGUCGCUUUGAAAUGACAACAGCAAGUAGCAACUUGCCACUGGCUGGCGCUCCGAUCGGCCAGCAGUCGCUAUACGGGACUUGUGUGCGAACUUGGAUACAAUGGUGAUUCACGCAUACGAACCUGUAUGCGAUGGUGAUUUUCAACGUAUUUUUAUUUAAAUGUUUACACAGGUAUUUCAGGAAAGUUUGUUCUAGUUUAUAUGUCUGUUCUCUGUGUUAGUAGCACAAACAGCUAGCAGCCAAGUUAGUAUUGUUCUUUCUGCUUGCAACCAACCUGGUUAUAUUGAUGUCAAUGCUAAAUUUGCUGUUACAGCUGUAUGGUCGCUAUACUGCCCCAUGUGUUGUGGGAUUCGCUAUUAACAUGGGACAGUUAUGCUUAGAGCACCAGAUUCGAAAAGCGACCAAUUUUGGCCAAUCACUGGAGACAAAAUCACGCGUAACAAUUAAUAAUAAAUUAAGUUGUUGCUGAGUAAUUUUUGUUGUACAUGAAUAAAACAUACCGAUUUCCUCGUUAGCUAUGGCUAAAUAACCAUUAGGAAGGUUAUGAGUUUAUUGUUAUCGCAUUUAUAAUCGUUUAUAAUACUUUCGAGUGAUCGAUUUUAAAGAUACGACUCGCACUUUAACCACCCCUUCACCGCGCCAUCAAAAUAAAAAUAAGUCAUACUCCUAAUGAACUAAUAUUUAUUAAAACAUUUACCAAAUAAAAACAUAGACCUGAUAGUUCGUUUUCAAAAAACACCGAAGCACAGUGAGUUGGUGUCAAUGCUCUAUCUUUGAUCCUAGUGCUGCAGGAUUGGGCCAACAUUUAUACUAUUUUUAUUCUAUCAACUUCAAGGAAAAAGUAUCACGUGAACGCUAUGUACAUAUAUGGACUUCUAAAUUUGGUAAUUAUUCCGAAUCACACUCGGCCUGGCCUUGGGUACAAGAUAACUGCUUGAUCUCCCACGAGCAUGGUCCUGCCGGAGUGUCUGCCUCGCCCGAUACCGGGGCAGCCUGUCCUAGCGAGGCUGCCUCUUGUGAAUCGGAACCGCUGAACAUUCCGAUGAGGGCAUGUCCAAUGGUGUUACUGACAGAGCCGAUCGCUACACUGCCAACAAAUAAAAUAGCUUUCUUCAACGAAUCGUGGACAAGAAAAAUCCAAAUGCCAAAUUUAACGGAACAUUGCCUAAUGACGUCAAAUAAAAAUGAAAGCCUAGCGAACUUGUCAAUACAAGAUAUUCGCAUUUAAAAGUGAACCAAAUCAAGUUUCUCAUACUGUGGUCGAAUAAAAAAAAAAUCCAAGUCUAUGUAAACAAGCUCUGCGAAAUGUCAUAAAAGUGAGGCUAAACAUUUUCAUCCAAUGUUCUACAGCGAGAGCUUCAUUUUAGUUUUUUUACAUUGCUGAUGAAUUUUGUACUGCGAUUCACCACUUCAUUUACCGCGUUGCCAAGAACUUAAGUGAAAAUAUUCAAAGCAGUGCUGCCUAAACGCACAUUUUAAGUCCCACCAUUCUUGCUGAGGUGAAAAAAAUAUUCAACAUUCUUGCAUAUUUCAAAUUUUACAAAAUCAUUAAAAAAUCAUGAUAGCUCCUAAAAAUCUCAUUUUUACGGAAAUGUUGUUAUAAAUGUGUAAUCUUUCGAUUAAAAAUAGGAAAAACAGGUGUUAGGUCGGACGAGAAAGGUCUAUUGUGUGUUCUAUUGCAGCUGCUACGCUCCACCAAGGUGGCCCAUAGAACAGUUCAACCAGAUGAUCGACAGGCUCUCGUCAGACCUAGUAGGCCGGAAACCGGUAGUCAUAGCGGGAGACUUUAACGCUUGGGCAGUGGAGUAAGGUAGCCGCUGUACAAAUAGCAAGGGCCAAGCGCUAAUGGAGGCGCUUGCGAAACUCGAUACUGUACUAGCUAGCAAUGGCUCCGCUAGUACAUUCCGUAGAAACAAGGUGGAGGCGUGGAUUGGCGUAACUUUUGCCAGCCCGAGUCUGGUUCCAGGCAUGGAAUGGAAGGUAGACGAAGGCUAUACCCAUAGCGAUCAUUUAUCAAUCCGUUUUUGGAUCCAUUAUGGUGUGCAGCAUCCGAGGGCGGAAGAUCCCUGUCAGGUACGCUAGUGGAAGUCCAAUCACUUUGACAGCGAAGCUUUCACCGCGGUCCUGGGACUGGAGGCCAACACCUACAGUCUAAGCGGGGAUGCGCUGGUAGCUGUUCUAUCACGCGCGUGCGAUGCCACUAUGCCGAGAAAAACCCUGCCAAGAAACGGCAGAUGCCCGGUAUACUGGUGGAGUGCCGAGAUUGCAGCUCUACGGUCAGCCUGCCUCAGAGCUAGACG